RNAcentral lists this ribosomal RNA (301 nucleotides) under uncultured bacterium. Its description in RNAcentral is "partial 16S ribosomal RNA". It matches the Rfam family "Bacterial small subunit ribosomal RNA", at positions 509 to 807 of the family's 1533-position model. The record is from RNAcentral.
CAGUAGCCACGGUAAUACGUAGGGUGCGAGCGUUAAUCGGAAUUACUGGGCGUAAAGCGUGCGCAGGCGGUUAUAUAAGUCAGAUGUGAAAUCCCCGGGCUCAACCUGGGAACUGCAUUUGAGACUGUAUGGCUAGAGUGUGUCAGAGGGGGGUAGAAUUCCACGUGUAGCAGUGAAAUGCGUAGAUAUGUGGAGGAAUACCGAUGGCGAAGGCAGCCCCCUGGGAUAACACUGACGCUCAUGCACGAAAGCGUGGGGAGCAAACAGGAUUAGAUACCCCAGUAGUCCCUGUCUCUUAUAC